GACGAACGCUGGCGGCACGCUUAACACAUGCAAGUCGAACGAGAGAAGAGAAGCUUGCUUUUCUGAUCUAGUGGCGGACGGGUGAGUAACACGUGAGCAAUCUGCCUUUCAGAGGGGGAUACCGAUUGGAAACGAUCGUUAAUACCGCAUAACAUAAUUGAACCGCAUGAUUUGAUUAUCAAAGAUUUAUCGCUGAAAGAUGAGCUCGCGUCUGAUUAGCUAGUUGGUAAGGUAACGGCUUACCAAGGCGACGAUCAGUAGCCGGACUGAGAGGUUGAUCGGCCACAUUGGGACUGAGACACGGCCCAGACUCCUACGGGAGGCAGCAGUGGGGAAUAUUGCACAAUGGAGGAAACUCUGAUGCAGUGAUGCCGCGUGAGGGAAGAAGGUUUUAGGAUUGUAAACCUCUGUCUUCAGGGACGAAAAAAGACGGUACCUGAGGAGGAAGCUCCGGCUAACUACGUGCCAGCAGCCGCGGUAAUACGUAGGGAGCGAGCGUUGUCCGGAAUUACUGGGUGUAAAGGGAGCGUAGGAGGGAUCGCAAGUCAGAUGUGAAAACUAUGGGCUUAACCCAUAAACUGCAUUUGAAACUGUGGUUCUUGAGUGAAGUAGAGGUAAGCGGAAUUCCUAGUGUAGCGGUGAAAUGCGUAGAUAUUAGGAGGAACAUCAGUGGCGAAGGCGGCUUACUGGGCUUUAACUGACGCUGAGGCUCGAAAGCGUGGGGAGCAAACAGGAUUAGAUACCCUGGUAGUCCACGCCGAAAACGAUGAUUACUAGGUGUGGGGGGACUGACCCCUUCCGUGCCGCAGCAAACGCAAUAAGUAAUCCACCUGGGGAGUACGACCGCAAGGUUGAAACUCAAAGGAAUUGACGGGGGCCCGCACAAGCAGUGGAGUAUGUGGAUUAAUUCGAAGCAACGCGAAGAACCUUACCAGGUCUUGACAUCGUAUGCAUAGCUCAGAGAUGAGUGAAAUCUCUUCGGAGACAUAUAGACAGGUGGUGCAUGGUUGUCGUCAGCUCGUGUCGUGAGAUGUUGGGUUAAGUCCCGCAACGAGCGCAACCCUUACUGUUAGUUGCUACGCAAGAGCACUCUAGCAGGACUGCCGUUGACAAAACGGAGGAAGGUGGGGAUGACGUCAAAUCAUCAUGCCCCUUAUGACCUGGGCCUCACACGUACUACAAUGGCUGUCAACAGAGGGAAGCAAAGCCGCGAGGUGGAGCAAACCCCUAAAAGCAGUCUUAGUUCGGAUUGUAGGCUGCAACCCGCCUACAUGAAGUCGGAAUUGCUAGUAAUCGCAGAUCAGCAUGCUGCGGUGAAUACGUUCCCGGGCCUUGCACA
This 1339-nucleotide ribosomal RNA is filed under the name uncultured bacterium. RNAcentral's name for it is "bacterial SSU rRNA". It matches the Rfam family "Bacterial small subunit ribosomal RNA", at positions 28 to 1387 of the family's 1533-position model. The record is from RNAcentral.